AUCCACGUUACCAUGGAGGCUGUGUUUUUUUUUCAAUGACAGUCCUCCUUCCUAGGCGUGGUACAGAAAACUCUUGCUCUUAUUCAGAUGGUCUCUGCUGAUGCUGUCGCCAGAGCCGAGAAUAAGAAAGGAAACAUUU
RNAcentral lists this small nucleolar RNA (139 nucleotides) under Poecilia mexicana. Its description in RNAcentral is "Small nucleolar RNA SNORA24 (ENSPMEG00000022053.1)". The record is from RNAcentral. Lineage: Eukaryota; Metazoa; Chordata; Actinopteri; Cyprinodontiformes; Poeciliidae.